AAACGGAACCCCAAAAGUAGCUG
Molecule: microRNA, 23 nt
Filed under: Callorhinchus milii (elephant shark)
Lineage: Eukaryota; Metazoa; Chordata; Chondrichthyes; Chimaeriformes; Callorhinchidae
Also listed under: 1 other name
Description: Cmi-Mir-191_5p (mature (guide))
Source: RNAcentral